UUUAAAAAAAAUUGUCUGUGGUCUCUUUAUGUUUUUACGCGUAAAAGAGACAAAGGGAGGAAAGAGCUCAUUAUUAUUAUUGUAUAACAUGUCUCAGGUGUUUUCAGUUCCAAGAAGAAGUGAAAAACAUAUGCAGUACCCGUUACUCACUUACUCACGACUUACUGGUAUUCUAAGUCAAGGUCUUACGUAUUGAAAUAAUAAAUGAUACUUGUAUUAAUUUUAUUGUUACGCUAUCAAAAUACUAUUUACAAUGACUCAAGUUAACAUAAUAUUAUACUUAUGGCCCACCAAUAAUGUACGCCUCUGUUUUAAACUAAUAUGAAAAUUUAGCCUUACUUAUCGUGUAAAAAUGGAACAACUAUAAGGCUUACUAAGCCUUUUUCAUGAUCAAUAACGAAGUGAUUAAAUUUCUCAAAAUAUAUUUUGUAUUCACAGUUUUGUCCAAAUAUGUUUGUAUAAAGUUGAAAUAUUACUAAUAUUUAAAAAUUAUACUUUCUUCCAUUUGUAUAGGCUACGUAUAUAAGCACUAGUUUAACUUUAAACUCUUUUUGUGUGUAACUUUCAAUAACACACCAUGGCCCAAUAUAUAUAUAUAACUUGUUAUUAUAGACAUUUUAUAAAAACAAUCAUUUGAGGUAUGAACAGGUGUUUUAUGGGGAAUAAUUAUAACUCUUAAGUCAUUGUGGUGGGAAGAUGUUGAGGGCUAGCUUGUACCCAUGGAUCCAUGUGUGAGUUGAUGGCAGCAACUGAACUGUACUGAUCACACUUUCAAGUAUUUUGUAGUGGAGAACUGUUAAAUUGUAUAGUCUAAUUCGCAGGCCAGACUUGAGUGUGCUUGUAGUGUGUGUGUGUGUGUUUCUUUGGUGAUGGUGAGAAGUUAGCCAUUUGUUAGUGUGAAUGGUGCAAGAUAAGCGGAAGAACAUGUCUGCAAACCUCACGCGAAGUUCUGUCUGUCACAACCUCACUAAGUGGUUGACUCCCAGUUCGCCAUAGGAUUUUCUUGUUUGACACCUGAUCUAUAUAUCUAUUAAUAUUAAAAGUUGAGACAAAAAAAGGAGGGUUUCAUGACAAAAUAAACAAUUUAUAGUUCGGGAAUAAAUCAAUGGCCAUAGCCGUGGGUUAUGCUAGUAAUUGAUUUAAAAAUGGGUGGCUUUUUUUCUUUUAAUACAUUUUAGAAGAUAUCUUUUUUCAACUUCUUAAUGAGAAAUCAAUUUUAAACAUCUUUAGGCACUUUAAUAAUAAUUUUAAAAAAUGGAGAAAGCGAUGUCAUUCAUUAGACAUUUGUAGAAGCCUUUAAAAAAAAAAAGGGAAUUUAAUAAGUUAUUGCAAAUAAAGAACAACGAAGAUUAAUAGAAAUGCUUUAAAUUUGAUGCUGGAGACUAAGAUUUGUGUAUCAUACGUCACACUUGACAGCACAUAUAGCAGCCAGCCAGGUGUAUGAGAAAUGACACUGUUUUUGGUCACAUUGUAUUAUGUUAUAUUGUUACUCUAAUUGAAAGCAUUUGUAGGUCCAUGUGGUUUAUAAUUUUUGUAAAAAAUGAAAUAGAUACAAGUAUACAAGUGCUCAUAAGAUAGUAUAUUGUAGUAAUUAUUGUGAAACAUCCAUUUUGAAACAAAACUGCAGCUGUAGAACUUGUCUUAAAGACACAAUUUCAUAGUAAAUAGUUUGAGAUGAAAGAUAAAUUGUAUUAAUCUAAUCAACAUUCUUGUUUUAUUAAUGAAUCUUAAGGUUUGUUUUUGUUUCAAUUUUUGUAACUCCCAUAUGUUAAAAAAUAUUAAAUAUCAAUAAACUUACACAUUACAUUACAAAGCUUUGUCUAGUACAAAAUAAAAAACAAAACUAAAAUACAGAA
This is a long non-coding RNA of Biomphalaria glabrata, 1856 nucleotides long. RefSeq lists it as uncharacterized. The record is from RefSeq and is a predicted model, not a curated record. Lineage: Eukaryota; Metazoa; Mollusca; Gastropoda; Planorbidae. The transcript has 2 exons.